This 719-nucleotide ribosomal RNA is filed under the name uncultured bacterium. RNAcentral describes it as "bacterial SSU rRNA". It matches the Rfam family "Bacterial small subunit ribosomal RNA", at positions 74 to 789 of the family's 1533-position model. The record is from RNAcentral.
AGAAGCUUGCUUCUCUUGAGAGCGGCGGACGGGUGAGUAAUGCCUAGGAAUCUGCCUGGUAGUGGGGGAUAACGUCCGGAAACGGACGCUAAUACCGCAUACGUCCUACGGGAGAAAGCAGGGGACCUUCGGGCCUUGCGCUAUCAGAUGAGCCUAGGUCGGAUUAGCUAGUUGGUGGGGCAAUGGCUCACCAAGGCGACGAUCCGUAACUGGUCUGAGAGGAUGAUCAGUCACACUGGAACUGAGACACGGUCCAGACUCCUACGGGAGGCAGCAGUGGGGAAUAUUGGACAAUGGGCGAAAGCCUGAUCCAGCCAUGCCGCGUGUGUGAAGAAGGUCUUCGGAUUGUAAAGCACUUUAAGUUGGGAGGAAGGGCAGUAAAUUAAUACUUUGCUGUUUUGACGUUACCGACAGAAUAAGCACCGGCUAACUCUGUGCCAGCAGCCGCGGUAAUACAGAGGGUGCAAGCGCUAAUCGGAAUUACUGGGCGUAAAGCGCGCGUAGGUGGUUCGUUAAGUUGGAUGUGAAAUCCCCGGGCUCAACCUGGGAACUGCAUUCAAAACUGACGAGCUAGAGUAUGGUAGAGGGUGGUGGAAUUUCCUGUGUAGCGGUGAAAUGCGUAGAUAUAGGAAGGAACACCAGUGGCGAAGGCGACCACCUGGACUGAUACUGACACUGAGGUGCGAAAGCGUGGGGAGCAAACAGGAUUAGAUACCCUG